UACGAAGGGGGCUAGCGUUGCUCGGAAUCACUGGGCGUAAAGGGUGCGUAGGCGGGUCUUUAAGUCAGGGGUGAAAUCCUGGAGCUCAACUCCAGAACUGCCUUUGAUACUGAAGAUCUUGAGUUCGGGAGAGGUGAGUGGAACUGCGAGUGUAGAGGUGAAAUUCGUAGAUAUCGAGAGGAACACCAGUGGCGAAGGCGGCUCACUGGCCCGGUACUGACGCUGAGGUGCGAAAGCGUGGGGAGCAAACAGG
This 253-nucleotide ribosomal RNA is filed under the name uncultured bacterium. RNAcentral describes it as "partial 16S ribosomal RNA". It matches the Rfam family "Bacterial small subunit ribosomal RNA", at positions 524 to 776 of the family's 1533-position model. The record is from RNAcentral.